GAUGAACGCUGGCGGCGUGCCUAAUACAUGCAAGUCGAGCGAACGGACGAGAAGCUUGCUUUUCUGAUGUUAGCGGCGGACGUGUGAGUAACACGUGGAUAACCUACCUAUAAGACUGGGAUAACUUCGGGAAACCGGCGCUAAUACCGGAUAAUAUUUUGAACCGCAUGGUUCAAAAGUGAAAGACGGUUUUGCUGUCACUUAUAGAUGGAUCCGCGCUGCAUUAGCUAGUUGGUAAGGUAACGGCUUACCAAGGCAACGAUGCAUAGCCGACCUGAGAGAGUGAUCGGCCACACUGGAACUGAGACGCCGACCAGACUCCUACGGGAGGCAGCAGUAGGGAAUCUUCCGCAAUGGGCGAAAGCCUGACGGAGCAACGCCGCGUGAGUGAUGAAGGUCUUCGGAUCGUAAAACUCUGUUAUUAGGGAAGAACAUAUGUGUAAGUAACUGUGCACAUCUUGACGGUACCUAAUAAGAAAGCCACGGCUAACUACGUG
RNAcentral lists this ribosomal RNA (497 nucleotides) under uncultured bacterium. RNAcentral describes it as "partial 16S ribosomal RNA". It matches the Rfam family "Bacterial small subunit ribosomal RNA", at positions 28 to 507 of the family's 1533-position model. The record is from RNAcentral.